CCGGGUGAGCCGGAGCAGAAGAGGCUCGGAGGGCACCCCUGGCAACCAGCCAAGCCAAGUGGCGCCUUUGCAGAGAUGUCAGGGAGAGGUCAGCAGGGUGACACGCUCCAGGAAGCAGACUCUUCUUUCCUAGGGCUCAGAACUGAGAAAAGAGACAAGGAGAAGGUGCUUUGGAGAACAGCCCGACUCCCUCUUCUUUGUGGCAGCCCCUGAGAUAUUGGAAGACUGCUAUCAUGUCUCCCCUAGUCCUUCUUUUCAUUAAACUAGACAUACCCAGUUCCUGCAACCGUUCUUCAUAUGUUUUAGUCUCCAGUCCCCUAAUCAUCUUUGUUGCUCUUCUCUGCACUCUUUCUAGAGUCUCAGCAUCUUGUGCCCAGGCUCAAAUCCCUCUUAUCUCACCACUGCCUUGGGAGCAGCCCUUCCUCCUGUGCUUCAGAGCCAGAGAAUGGAGCAACUCGUCACAGCCAACUUGCUGUGGCCAACUCACCAUGGCCAACUCAUUGCAGUCAACUCAUUAUGGCCAACAUAUUCCAUGGCCAACUCACCAUGGCCAACUCAUUGCAGUCAACUCUGUGGCUCAGACUGGUUCGGCCGAACUAGUCCAAACUGGCUGAAUGCCACCUCUGAUGCAGACCAACAAGGCUUUUCUCCUACAAUGUCAAAGAGAAGACCUGAUCUACCAUUUCUCUCC
Long non-coding RNA from Ahaetulla prasina, 691 nucleotides. RefSeq lists it as uncharacterized. Lineage: Eukaryota; Metazoa; Chordata; Lepidosauria; Squamata; Colubridae. The transcript has 4 exons. The record is from RefSeq and is a predicted model, not a curated record.